GACGAACGCUGGCGGCGUGCUUAACACAUGCAAGUCGAACGGAAAGGCCCUGCUUUUGUGGGGUGCUCGAGUGGCGAACGGGUGAGUAACACGUGAGUAACCUGCCCUUGACUUUGGGAUAACUUCAGGAAACUGGGGCUAAUACCGGAUAGGAGCUCCUGCUGCAUGGUGGGGGUUGGAAAGUUUCGGCGGUUGGGGAUGGACUCGCGGCUUAUCAGCUUGUUGGUGGGGUAGUGGCUUACCAAGGCUUUGACGGGUAGCCGGCCUGAGAGGGUGACCGGCCACAUUGGGACUGAGAUAAGGCCCAGACUCCUACGGGAGGCAGCAGUGGGGAAUAUUGCACAAUGGGCGGAAGCCUGAUGCAGCAACGCCGCGUGCGGGAUGACGGCCUUCGGGUUGUAAACCGCUUUCGCCUGUGACGAAGCGUGAGUGACGGUAAUGGGUAAAGAAGCACCGGCUAACUACGUGC
RNAcentral lists this ribosomal RNA (469 nucleotides) under uncultured bacterium. RNAcentral describes it as "partial 16S ribosomal RNA". It matches the Rfam family "Bacterial small subunit ribosomal RNA", at positions 28 to 508 of the family's 1533-position model. The record is from RNAcentral.